AUUGAACGCUGGCGGAAUGCUUUACACAUGCAAGUCGAACGGCAGCACGUGGGCAGCCCUGGUGGCGAGUGGCGAACGGGUGAGUAAUACAUCGGAACGUGCCCGGUCGUGGGGGAUAACGUAGCGAACUUUACUCUAAUACCGCAUACGCUCUGAGGAUGAAAGCGGGGGCCCUUCGGGCCUCGCGCUAUCGGCGCGGCCGAUGUCAGAUUAGGUAGUUGGUGGGGUAAAGGCCUACCAAGCCGACGAUCUGUAGCUGGUCUGAGAGGACGACCAGCCACACUGGGACUGAGACACGGCCCAGACUCCUACGGGAGGCAGCAGUGGGGAAUUUUGGACAAUGGGCGCAAGCCUGAUCCAGCCAUGCCGCGUGCAGGACGAAGGCCUUCGGGUUGUAAACUGCUUUUGUACGGAACGAAAAGGCUCUGGCUAAUACCUGGGGCUCAUGACGGUACCGUAAGAAUAAGCACCGGCUAACUACGUG
RNAcentral lists this ribosomal RNA (484 nucleotides) under uncultured bacterium. RNAcentral's name for it is "partial 16S ribosomal RNA". It matches the Rfam family "Bacterial small subunit ribosomal RNA", at positions 30 to 507 of the family's 1533-position model. The record is from RNAcentral.